AUUGAACGCUGGCGGCAGGCCUAACACAUGCAAGUCGAGCGGAUGAAGGGAGCUUGCUCCUGGAUUCAGCGGCGGACGGGUGAGUAAUGCCUAGGAAUCUGCCUGGUAGUGGGGGAUAACGUCCGGAAACGGGCGCUAAUACCGCAUACGUCCUGAGGGAGAAAGUGGGGGAUCUUCGGACCUCACGCUAUCAGAUGAGCCUAGGUCGGAUUAGCUAGUUGGUGGGGUAAAGGCCUACCAAGGCGACGAUCCGUAACUGGUCUGAGAGGAUGAUCAGUCACAUUGGAACUGAGACACGGCCCAGACUCCUACGGGAGGCAGCAGUGGGGAAUAUUGGACCAUGGGCGAAAGCCUGCUCCAGCCAUGCCGCGUGUGUGAAGAAGGUCUUCGGAUUGUAAAGCACUUCAAGUUGGGAGGAAGGGCAGUAAGUUAAUACCUUGCUGUUUUGACGUUACCAACAGAAUAAGCACCGGCUAACUUCGUG
Molecule: ribosomal RNA, 484 nt
Filed under: uncultured bacterium
Lineage: Bacteria
Description: partial 16S ribosomal RNA
Rfam family: Bacterial small subunit ribosomal RNA
Source: RNAcentral